This is a long non-coding RNA of Neltuma alba, 298 nucleotides long. RefSeq lists it as uncharacterized. The transcript has 3 exons. The record is from RefSeq and is a predicted model, not a curated record. Lineage: Eukaryota; Viridiplantae; Streptophyta; Magnoliopsida; Fabales; Fabaceae.
UCACAUCCUUUCCUUGAAAGGAUAUGAAGACUAAAGAAGCAAGGAAAGCUAUGGUUAGCUCCAAUUCUCAGAAUAAAAAUGUAAUGUUGUGGCAUCAAAGAUUAGGCCACCCCAGUUUUGAUUAUAUGAAGCAUGUGUUUCCAACUUUAUUCAAUAAAAAUUCUUCACCUUUCCAAUGUGAAACUUGUCAAAUUGCCAAACAAACUCGUGCGUCUUAUCCCAAACAUAUUUACAAACCCACUACACCGUUUACGAUGAUCCAUACAGACAUUUGGGGACCAGCCAAAACUAAAACCCG